GGGGUUGUAGCUUAGUGACAUAGUGCUUGCCUAGCAUGUGGGAGGCACUGGGUUCGAUUCUCAGCACCUCA
This 71-nucleotide transfer RNA is filed under the name Marmota marmota marmota (Alpine marmot). It matches the Rfam family "tRNA". Rfam says of the family: Transfer RNA (tRNA) molecules are approximately 80 nucleotides in length. Their secondary structure includes four short double-helical elements and three loops (D, anti-codon, and T loops). Further hydrogen bonds mediate the characteristic L-shaped molecular structure. tRNAs have two regions of fundamental functional importance: the anti-codon, which is responsible for specific mRNA codon recognition, and the 3' end, to which the tRNAs corresponding amino acid is attached (by aminoacyl-tRNA synthetases). tRNAs cope with the degeneracy of the genetic code in two manners: having more than one tRNA (with a specific anti-codon) for a particular amino acid; and 'wobble' base-pairing, i.e. permitting non-standard base-pairing at the 3rd anti-codon position. RNAcentral also lists the same sequence under 1 other name. Lineage: Eukaryota; Metazoa; Chordata; Mammalia; Rodentia; Sciuridae. The record is from Rfam by way of RNAcentral.